This 1334-nucleotide ribosomal RNA is filed under the name Listeria monocytogenes. Its description in RNAcentral is "partial 23S ribosomal RNA". It matches the Rfam family "Bacterial large subunit ribosomal RNA", at positions 408 to 1741 of the family's 2925-position model. The record is from RNAcentral. Lineage: Bacteria; Bacillati; Bacillota; Bacilli; Caryophanales; Listeriaceae.
CUGAGUACGGCGGAACACGUGAAAUUCCGUCGGAAUCCGGGAGGACCAUCUCCCAAGGCUAAAUACUCCCUAGUGACCGAUAGUGAACCAGUACCGUGAGGGAAAGGUGAAAAGCACCCCGGAAGGGGAGUGAAACAGUUCCUGAAACCGUGUGCCUACAAGUAGUUAGAGCCCGUUAAUGGGUGAUAGCGUGCCUUUUGUAGAAUGAACCGGCGAGUUACGAUUUGUUGCAAGGUUAAGCGGAAAAAGCGGAGCCGUAGCGAAAGCGAGUCUGAAUAGGGCGCAUAAGUAACAGGUCGUAGACCCGAAACCAGGUGAUCUACCCAUGUCCAGGAUGAAGGUAAGGUAAUACUUACUGGAGGUCCGAACCCACGCACGUUGAAAAGUGCGGGGAUGAGGUGUGGGUAGCGGAGAAAUUCCAAUCGAACUUGGAGAUAGCUGGUUCUCUCCGAAAUAGCUUUAGGGCUAGCCUCGAGGUAAAGAGUCAUGGAGGUAGAGCACUGUUUGGACUAGGGGCCCUUCUCGGGUUACCGAAUUCAGAUAAACUCCGAAUGCCAUGUACUUAUACUCGGGAGUCAGACUGCGAGUGAUAAGAUCCGUAGUCGAAAGGGAAACAGCCCAGACCACCAGUUAAGGUCCCCAAAUAUAUGUUAAGUGGAAAAGGAUGUGGGGUUGCUUAGACAACCAGGAUGUUGGCUUAGAAGCAGCCACCAUUGAAAGAGUGCGUAAUAGCUCACUGGUCGAGUGACCCCGCGCCGAAAAUGUACCGGGGCUAAACAUAUUACCGAAACUGUGGAUGAACCUCUUUAGAGGUUCGUGGUAGGAGAGCGUUCUAAGGGCGGUGAAGUCAGACCGGAAGGACUGGUGGAGCGCUUAGAAGUGAGAAUGCCGGUAUGAGUAGCGAAAGAAGGGUGAGAAUCCCUUCCACCGAAUAUCUAAGGUUUCCUGAGGAAGGCUCGUCCGCUCAGGGUUAGUCGGGACCUAAGCCGAGGCCGAUAGGCGUAGGCGAUGGACAACAGGUAGAGAUUCCUGUACCAGUGCUAAUUGUUUAACCGAUGGGGUGACACAGAAGGAUAGGGAAUCGCACGAAUGGAAAUGUGCGUCCAAGCAGUGAGUGUGAGAAGUAGGCAAAUCCGCUUCUCGCGAAGCAUGAGCUGUGAUGGGGAAGGAAAUUAAGUACGGAAGUUCCUGAUUUCACGCUGUCAAGAAAAGCCUCUAGGAAGAGUAGUACUGCCCGUACCGCAAACCGACACAGGUAGAUGAGGAGAGAAUCCUAAGGUGAGCGAGAGAACUCUCGUUAAGGAACUCGGCAAAAUGACCCCGUAACUUCGGGA